This 169-nucleotide ribosomal RNA is filed under the name Escherichia coli. RNAcentral's name for it is "partial 23S ribosomal RNA". It matches the Rfam family "Bacterial large subunit ribosomal RNA", at positions 1 to 161 of the family's 2925-position model. Lineage: Bacteria; Pseudomonadati; Pseudomonadota; Gammaproteobacteria; Enterobacterales; Enterobacteriaceae. The record is from RNAcentral.
GGGUUGUGAGGUUAAGCGACUAAGCGUACACGGUGGAUGCCCUGGCAGUCAGAGGCGAUGAAGGACGUGCUAAUCUGCGAUAAGCGUCGGUAAGGUGAUAUGAACCGUUAUAACCGGCGAUUUCCGAAUGGGGAAACCCAGUGUGUUUCGUCACACUAUCAUUAACUGA